GAUUGAUGUGGCGACUGGCAGUAUCGCCAUGCUGCAGCCCAGAAGAUUUACUUACUUGCACUACAUUUAAAAGAGUAAUAGGAUGCUUUCAUGACAUGCAUGAUGUUUAGCAAAAUGCCAGGCAAAGACAAAACGGCUGAGAGUUUGGAGUUUUACGUUGCCUGGCUACAAGAAGAGCUGUUGCCUUUCAGAAGAUGGAGAGGUCGGCGCUGGGUGCUGAAAGGGAGUAAAUGCCACACUGCUGAUGUAACCAUAGGGUUGCUGGAGCACACUACCGUCUUUAAAGUUUUAGAGGAAUCUUAAGGAAAGCUUACUGUCGCUCUCCAUUAGUGAAGUUACAAUUUCCUCACUCCAGUGCCUGCAGUGUUCAUCUUGGCAAAACGAAGACCAGCAAUAUGAGCUCUGAUUCUUGUGCCAUCUACCGCUGCGCCCCUGCAUCUCAACACAGCAAUUUCUUCUUGCUAGUGAGCUAACACUGCAGAUUAUGUAUUCCAGCAAGAUGUUACUCACUCGCAUCCUGCACCUUCGUGUGCAGAAGGGAUUACAUAUCA
Long non-coding RNA from Oreochromis aureus, 551 nucleotides. RefSeq lists it as uncharacterized. Lineage: Eukaryota; Metazoa; Chordata; Actinopteri; Cichliformes; Cichlidae. The transcript is spliced from 3 exons. The record is from RefSeq and is a predicted model, not a curated record.